ACUAAGCGUACACGGUGGAUGCCCUGGCAGUCAGAGGCGAUGAAGGACGUGCUAAUCUGCGAUAAGCGUCGGUGAGGUGAUAUGAACCGUUAUAACCGGCGAUUUCCGAAUGGGGAAACCCAGUGUGUUUCGACACACUAUCAUUAACUGAAUCCAUAGGUUAAUGAGGCGAACCGGGGGAACUGAAACAUCUAAGUACCCCGAGGAAAAGAAAUCAACCGAGAUUCCCCCAGUAGCGGCGAGCGAACGGGGAGGAGCCCAGAGCCUGAAUCAGUGUGUGUGUUAGUGGAAGCGUCUGGAAAGGCGCGCGAUACAGGGUGACAGCCCCGUACACAAAAAUGCACAUAUUGUGAGCUCGAUGAGUAGGGCGGGACACGUGGUAUCCUGUCUGAAUAUGGGGGGACCAUCCUCCAAGGCUAAAUACUCCUGACUGACCGAUAGUGAACCAGUACCGUGAGGGAAAGGCGAAAAGAACCCCGGCGAGGGGAGUGAAAAAGAACCUGAAACCGUGUACGUACAAGCAGUGGGAGCCUCUUAAUGGGGUGACUGCGUACCUUUUGUAUAAUGGGUCAGCGACUUAUAUUCUGUAGCAAGGUUAACCGAAUAGGGGAGCCGAAGGGAAACCGAGUCUUAACUGGGCGUUAAGUUGCAGGGUAUAGACCCGAAACCCGGUGAUCUAGCCAUGGGCAGGUUGAAGGUUGGGUAACACUAACUGGAGGACCGAACCGACUAAUGUUGAAAAAUUAGCGGAUGACUUGUGGCUGGGGGUGAAAGGCCAAUCAAACCGGGAGAUAGCUGGUUCUCCCCGAAAGCUAUUUAGGUAGCGCCUCGUGAAUUCAUCUCCGGGGGUAGAGCACUGUUUCGGCAAGGGGGUCAUCCCGACUUACCAACCCGAUGCAAACUGCGAAUACCGGAGAAUGUUAUCACGGGAGACACACGGCGGGUGCUAACGUCCGUCGUGAAGAGGGAAACAACCCAGACCGCCAGCUAAGGUCCCAAAGUCAUGGUUAAGUGGGAAACGAUGUGGGAAGGCCCAGACAGCCAGGAUGUUGGCUUAGAAGCAGCCAUCAUUUAAAGAAAGCGUAAUAGCUCACUGGUCGAGUCGGCCUGCGCGGAAGAUGUAACGGGGCUAAACCAUGCACCGAAGCUGCGGCAGCGACACUAUGUGUUGUUGGGUAGGGGAGCGUUCUGUAAGCCUGUGAAGGUGGCCUGUGAGGGUUGCUGGAGGUAUCAGAAGUGCGAAUGCUGACAUAAGUAACGAUAAAGCGGGUGAAAAGCCCGCUCGCCGGAAGACCAAGGGUUCCUGUCCAACGUUAAUCGGGGCAGGGUGAGUCGACCCCUAAGGCGAGGCCGAAAGGCGUAGUCGAUGGGAAACAGGUUAAUAUUCCUGUACUUGGUGUUACUGCGAAGGGGGGACGGAGAAGGCUAUGUUGGCCGGGCGACGGUUGUCCCGGUUUAAGCGUGUAGGCUGGUUUUCCAGGCAAAUCCGGAGAAUCAAGGCUGAGGCGUGAUGACGAGGCACUACGGUGCUGAAGCAACAAAUGCCCUGCUUCCAGGAAAAGCCUCUAAGCAUCAGGUAACAUCAAAUCGUACCCCAAACCGACACAGGUGGUCAGGUAGAGAAUACCAAGGCGCUUGAGAGAACUCGGGUGAAGGAACUAGGCAAAAUGGUGCCGUAACUUCGGGAGAAGGCACGCUGAUAUGUAGGUGAAGCGACUUGCUCGUGGAGCUGAAAUCAGUCGAAGAUACCAGCUGGCUGCAACUGUUUAUUAAAACACAGCACUGUGCAACACGAAAGUGGACGUAUACGGUGUGACGCCUGCCCGGUGCCGGAAGGUUAAUUGAUGGGGUUAGCGGCAACGCGAAGCUCUUGAUCGAAGCCCCGGUAAACGGCGGCCGUAACUAUAACGGUCCUAAGGUAGCGAAAUUCCUUGUCGGGUAAGUUCCGACCUGCACGAAUGGCGUAAUGAUGGCCAGGCUGUCUCCACCCGAGACUCAGUGAAACUUGAACUCGCUGUGAAGAUGCAGUGUACCCGCGGCAAGACGGAAAGACCCCGUGAACCUUUACUAUAGCUUGACACUGAACAUUGAGCCUUGAUGUGUAGGAUAGGUGGGAGGGCUUUGAAGUGUGGACGCCAGUCUGCAUGGAGCCGGCCUUGAAAUACCACCCUUUAAUGUUUGAUGUUCUAACGUGGGCCCCUAAUCGGGGUUGCGGACAGUGUCUGGUGGGUAGUUUGACUGGGGCGGUCUCCUCCUAAAGAGUAACGGAGGAGCACGAAGGUUGGCUAAUCCUGGUCGGACAUCAGGAGGUUAGUGCAAUGGCAUAAGCCAGCUUGACUGCGAGCGUGACGGCGCGAGCAGGUGCGAAAGCAGGUCAUAGUGAUCCGGUGGUUCUGAAUGGAAGGGCCAUCGCUCAACGGAUAAAAGGUACUCCGGGGAUAACAGGCUGAUACCGCCCAAGAGUUCAUAUCGACGGCGGUGUUUGGCACCUCGAUGUCGGCUCAUCACAUCCUGGGGCUGAAGUAGGUCCCAAGGGUAUGGCUGUUCGCCAUUUAAAGUGGUACGCGAGCUGGGGUUUAGAACGUCGUGAGACAGUUCGGUCCCUAUCUGCCGUGGGCGCUGGAGAACUGAGGGGGGCUGCUCCUAGUACGAGAGGACCGGAGUGGACGCAUCACUGGUGUUCGGGUUGUCAUGCCAAUGGCACUGCCCGGUAGCUAAAUGCGGAAGAGAUAAGUGCUGAAAGCAUCUAAGCACGAAACUUGCCCCGAGAUGGGUUCUCCCUGACCCUAAGGGUCCUGAAGGAACGUUGAAGACGACGACGUUGAUAGGCCGGGUGUGUAAGCGCAGCGAUGCGUUGAGCUAACCGGUACUAAUGAACCGUGAGGCUUAACC
This 2892-nucleotide ribosomal RNA is filed under the name Escherichia coli EPEC11. RNAcentral describes it as "bacterial LSU rRNA". It matches the Rfam family "Bacterial large subunit ribosomal RNA". Lineage: Bacteria; Pseudomonadati; Pseudomonadota; Gammaproteobacteria; Enterobacterales; Enterobacteriaceae. The record is from RNAcentral.